AUGAAGAUAACCGUCAGAAAAGGACAUCCUUUCCUUGCUUCUGUGGCUUUGCAUCCAGGACGAACCUCUUCCCCACCUACACAGGGUUUUCUUCCUGAAGCUGCUGGCACUCAGGAACUGGGGACUCAGUGCCAGGUUGGCCGUGUCCUGCUGCAGAUGUGGGGACUUGUUCUCUGUCUCUUCCUGAUGGUGGGAGGUGCUUCAGGACAAGGCGUGGAGCAGCCUGCCACGUUGAUGUCUGUGGAAGGCUCCUUUGUUCAGAUCAACUGCACGUACAGCACGUCAGGGUUCAAUGGGUUAUCCUGGUACCAGCAACGCGAAGGCCGAGCGCCUAUAUUUCUCUCUUACGCGGUUCUGGAUGGUUUGAAGGACAGUGGGCCUUUUUCCACAUUCCUGAGGCGCUCAGAUGGGUACAGUUACCUCCUUCUGACAGAGCUCCAGAUCAAAGACACCGCCUCCUACCUCUGUGCUGUGAGGGACACGGUGACUGUGACGCCUCUGCAGCUGCACAAAAAUUCAAAGGGGGCCACAGCAGGGGAGGGGUUACAUUUCCUUAGUGUGUGCUUGCUGUGA
This is a non-coding RNA of Psammomys obesus (fat sand rat), 573 nucleotides long. The record is from the annotation of a RefSeq genome assembly. NCBI's taxonomy places the organism in Eukaryota, Metazoa, Chordata, Mammalia, Rodentia, Muridae.